This 216-nucleotide ribosomal RNA is filed under the name Glomeromycotina sp. RNAcentral's name for it is "partial small subunit ribosomal RNA". The stretch from base 87 to 216 matches the Rfam family "Eukaryotic small subunit ribosomal RNA", at positions 733 to 864 of the family's 1831-position model. The record is from RNAcentral. Lineage: Eukaryota; Fungi; Glomeromycota.
GGGUCAGUAGGUUGGUCGUGCCACCGGUACGUACUGGUCUCACUGAUUCCUCCUUCCUGAAGAACCGUAAUGCCAUUAAGUUGGUGUUGCGGGGAAACAGGACUGUUACUUUGAAAAAAUUAGAGUGUUUAGAGCAAGCUAACGCUUGAAUACAUUAGCAUGGAAUAAUGAAAUAGGACGAUCGAUCCUAUUUUGUUGGUUUCUAGGAUUGACGUA